AGUGGGUGUAACGUACCUACUAGCCGACGACGGGUACGGGUUGUGAGAGCAAGAGCCCGGAGAUGGAUUCUGAGACAUGAAUCCAGGCCCUACGGGGCGCAGCAGGCGCGAAAACUUUACAAUGCGGGAAACCGCGAUAAGGGGACACUGAGUGCCAGCAUACAAUGUUGGCUGUCCGCAUGUAUAAAUAGCAUGUGUUAGCAAGGGCCGGGCAAGACCGGUGCCAGCCGCCGCGGUAACACCGGCGGCCCGAGUGGUGGCCACUAUUAUUGGGUCUAAAGGGUCCGUAGCCGGUUUGAUCAGUCUUCCGGGAAAUCUGACAGCUCAACUGUUAGGCUUCCGGGGGAUACUGUCAGACUUGGGACCGGGAGAGGUAAGAGGUACUACAGGGGUAGGAGUGAAAUCUUGUAAUCCUUGUGGGACCACCAGUGGCGAAGGCGUCUUACCAGAACGGGUCCGACGGUGAGGGACGAAAGCUGGGGGCACGAACCGGAUUAGAU
RNAcentral lists this ribosomal RNA (500 nucleotides) under uncultured microorganism. Its description in RNAcentral is "bacterial SSU rRNA". It matches the Rfam family "Archaeal small subunit ribosomal RNA", at positions 234 to 734 of the family's 1478-position model. The record is from RNAcentral.